This 72-nucleotide transfer RNA is filed under the name Ovis aries (sheep). It matches the Rfam family "tRNA". Rfam says of the family: Transfer RNA (tRNA) molecules are approximately 80 nucleotides in length. Their secondary structure includes four short double-helical elements and three loops (D, anti-codon, and T loops). Lineage: Eukaryota; Metazoa; Chordata; Mammalia; Artiodactyla; Bovidae. The record is from Rfam by way of RNAcentral.
UCCCUGGUGGCUCAGACAGUAAAGAAUCUGCCUGCAAUGGAGGAGAUUCAGGUUCAAUCCCUGGCUUGGGAA